RNAcentral lists this transfer RNA (63 nucleotides) under bovine gut metagenome. It matches the Rfam family "tRNA", at positions 6 to 65 of the family's 71-position model. Rfam says of the family: Transfer RNA (tRNA) molecules are approximately 80 nucleotides in length. Their secondary structure includes four short double-helical elements and three loops (D, anti-codon, and T loops). Further hydrogen bonds mediate the characteristic L-shaped molecular structure. tRNAs have two regions of fundamental functional importance: the anti-codon, which is responsible for specific mRNA codon recognition, and the 3' end, to which the tRNAs corresponding amino acid is attached (by aminoacyl-tRNA synthetases). tRNAs cope with the degeneracy of the genetic code in two manners: having more than one tRNA (with a specific anti-codon) for a particular amino acid; and 'wobble' base-pairing, i.e. permitting non-standard base-pairing at the 3rd anti-codon position. The record is from RNAcentral.
GGUAGUUCAAUUGGUAGAGCGGCGGUCUCCAAAACCGUUGGUUGAGGGUUCGAGUCCUUCCCG